AUGAGAUAAAGUAUAAAACUUCGUAAUCGAGCAUGACUCGAAUAAAGAUGAAAUGUGAAAUGCGUAUGUUUAAAGGUAAUUUCUUUUUGCUGCAAUCGUUAUAUAUAAUGGUCAAUGAUAGAACAGAACUACAUGUGCGUACGACAUAUAUUGCCGACAUAAUUGAAUUAACUUUUAAAUGAAAAAUAAAAAGAUUACACGUUGAUUGCGUAGGUAAAAGUUAAUAAGAACUUGUUUCGCGUGAGAUAUUCUUUUAUGAAAUACUUAACUCCAUUAGUCGACAUAAUCAACAUAAAUCAACGUAAAGAAUGAUUAUACAAUGUAGUUUUAAAUUAUUGAUUUCAAAUUUAAUUGAUAAAUAACCUAUUCAAUUAUCAAUAAUGAAUUGAGAUACGUUCUACCUAUAUUUUAUCUUUUUGAGUAUUUUAAGAAAUAUCCACAAUAUAUGUGAAAUAGGUUAAAAUAAAAUAGGUCAAAAUAAUCUUACGACACAAUUUUUCGAGGGAUAAUUUUAAUCGGGGAAUAUUCGAAACAACUGAUAUGUAAGUCAGUGUGUAUUUACUUAAGUGUAUUUACUACCUACCUACCUACCUACCUACCUAUCUAUACAUACAUACACACAUAUAUACGUCAUACAUCACACGGAAGCAAGAUUUCAAUAUGGCGACGCGCAAUUUGAUCUAACCGAAAUAUUGCGAGUAGAUCGAACAUGUAUCUCCAUCUUAUAUCGUUUGCAUCUCGUCCUUUGUUAUCGUUUAUUUUGUGAUUCUGGUGGAAUAGAAGGAAUUAGAGAAGCACAGUCGAUUGAUUAUUCAUGUAAGUGUUUAUUUGCGUGGUGUAAUUUGAAUCACCGGAGUGUAAUUAAUAUUGCGCUUCGUAAUUUUCGCAGAUAAUUCAAAUUUUUGUUCACAUAUUUAAUCGACGAACAAAAUUCGUCGAUUUCAUUUUGCACGUAAUGUUGUUAGUAACUGUUCCAGUUGUGAGAUUUUUAACUUCAUUUUAUUUACUUCGUUGUUAUUAUUGAUGUCGUUGUUUAUUAAAUUAAAGUAAAUGAGAAAAAUAUGGACACAAUUUCAAUGCUGAAACUCUACUCUAUUUAAUAUUUCUCGUUUCGUAUUACGAGCAUCGCUAUGAUGAUAGAUACCUGAGAUACCAUAGACGAUUUAGAAGAAGUUUCAAUUGGAUCACGUUUGACUUUUUCAGAAAAAUUGGAUUAAAGAUUGCAGACAAUUAUUGUACAACACUCGGCCGUACAACCUAGUGGCACAAGUGAAGUAAACGUAAAUGAUCAUAGUUCAAUGCUCGAGACUGACCGGGGUCGCCAAGACAUUUUCCUUGGCUCCGCUUGACAGCGAUUGGCAUCUAUAAUUCUCGACGGUGUCGUAAAAAAGUCGUGGAAUGCUGUUUGAUUUGAACUCGUUUAAACGCACUUCAGGAAACAAAACAUACAUACAUAUAGAAACCGAACAAGUUCGAAUGAAAGACGGAAAAUCGCUAAGCGAUUCAACGGCGUGAGCAAGUUUGCAACGAGAAAUCUUACCAAUGACAGCAUACAUUUUUAUUUAUUAUCAUUGUACGUAUACGUGGUCGUGUUGUUACCUAUUUACCGAUAAAUAAUUUCGUCAGAAUAACUAUCGAACGAGACCACUGACGUGUAAAUUACCUAUGAAUCACUUAAAAAAAAUACUUAUAAACGUGGUACAGCUCAAGUAGACCCCUGAAAACUUUGAAGAAUUAAUGAAAUUUCUUGCUUUUUAUCUGUCGCCUUUACAAGUUGACAAAUCACUAAAAUAAUACUCCUUACUUGCUAAAUCUGGCUCGAUCAAUUUGAUUUUUCACGUUUCUUUUUCGCGAUGCACGGAAAACGAGACACCUUGUUUGAAAAUUUUAUUACAAAAUGAAAUUAUCACCGAGCACUAAAUUCUUACCGGCGCACUUUUAUAAAGAGUUGUUAAAUACAAAUUUUUAUUGGAAUUUGAAGACAAAGUAAAUUUUAUAAGGGUAGAUAAUAUUUAGAUGGCGGAAAUUUAUAUUUUCAUGAAUUAUAAUGUGAAC
Molecule: long non-coding RNA, 2055 nt
Organism: Frieseomelitta varia
Lineage: Eukaryota; Metazoa; Arthropoda; Insecta; Hymenoptera; Apidae
Exons: 3
Source: RefSeq, a predicted model, not a curated record